AUAGAGCCCACCCUCUGCUUAAAAUAAGAAGAAAAGGCAUCUCAUCUUUCUUAGGCUUCAUUGGUUUCCUUCCCAUUUUUUUUUUCCCUUCUGUACUCCCAGAGUAAGCCCUUCGAUAGAGAGGAUGGCUGAAGGUUGAAGACUACACAGGGCCUCCUUGUUACUUUGGAUUUGUGACUGCCUACUCUAAACCCCUGAGUUCCUCUUGUACAAGGAUCAUGGGACCUCACCACCACCACCACCACCCCCACCAUGAAGGCCACAGCCCAUAUGAUGAUCCCUUUUUGGCCUGCCUUUGCUGCCCUUGCUUUCUGGUUUCUUCCAUCAUUGGAGGGUUUGGGAGAUUCGUCUUUGAUGCCUGCCACCCCAUACUGCAAUGCUUAGGAUUGGACGAGCACAGGCAUCACCACCAUCACAGCCAUUUCCCUUGAUAUGAUUCCUCUGGCAAGCCAUCCUUGAACACGUUUAUAAUGUUUUGAUGCUUUCUAAAAGUUACAAUACCUCUGGGAUAGGAACGUUACCGAUGAAUUUUGUGCAAGUUCGUGGGCUAAUGCGAGAUGGUUAGUGCGACAAUGUUCUCCAAAUUUGCACUCAGAAGGCUUUUGUUGGAACCAUGAACUUUCAAGAACUUUGUGUUGCUUCUCGAAGUGUACAUUUUGAGUCAUGUACCGAAAAAACAAAAAACAGUGUACAUUUGAGUUGCUUCGGUUUGAACAUGACUGGUGAUCUCGUUAGCUCAUGUGGUGUAUCUACAACCAGACUGUGAAAGACAAAUUCACCACUCAGUUGGCUUUCCAUUCUUCUUAUCUAGCUUUAUAAAGUUGUUUUUUAA
Phoenix dactylifera (date palm) is the source of this 832-nucleotide non-coding RNA. NCBI's taxonomy places the organism in Eukaryota, Viridiplantae, Streptophyta, Magnoliopsida, Arecales, Arecaceae. The record is from RefSeq and is a predicted model, not a curated record.